AAUUAAUGUGAAUUAACAGAAAUAUUAUUAUGCAUUGGAAAUCCCUGCUAAGACUGAAUCUUGUUCACUUUCCUAGUGCCAGCACCUGGUGUAGGCCAGACACACAGAAGAUGCCCAGUAAAUAAAUAAAUGUUAACUCUGAUUAACACAUACUGAUUAGAAACUCUGAUUGGAAAAUAGGUAUAAAUGAAUAAUUAAAAAUAGGGAAAGCAGUUGGUUGUUACUUUAUAAACACAGUUUGUUCAGGGAGAGUAUUUUUCAAAAUGCAAGGCAAAAUGGUGAUGAAAAGGUCACAGACUCUGGGAGAUGCUGAAAAAAACCCCAGCCUCCCACACGGCUUGUGAGAUCAGCAGAGGCAAAAGCCAAAUGCAUGAGUCAUGCCCAGCAAUUCUGAGGCAGGGACCAAUCAGAGGUGUGUGCUGUCCUCGUCACUGUCCGACUGAACUCUUCAUUCAUAGAACAAACAGUUCAAAAGGUCCUUUGAGGAACUCCCUGGUGCCCUUUGGCAGAAGAGUGGCCACAGAGCUGACACCAUGAGCAGAAAAUGUGAGAACCUGUGCUCAAGAGAAAGUGCUCCCAGUGGAAAACGAAAGGAGGUCAAGGCAGGGAAACAAGCAAGCCUGUUAAGGAUUCCAUACAACGCCGCAGAAGUGUUUUCCAAAAGCAGAGUCCCCACAUAGCAAUGGAAAAUGCCAGCUUCAUUUAGGCAGCUGCCCAACACACACACACACAAACACACACACACAAACGUGUGCAUACACACAUGCAUGCAUAAAUACAUGCACAUACACCCCCAUGCACAAACUCCAAAAAGGGAGAAAUGACUCUAAAAUAGCAGAGCCCACUUUGCAUCACAAUGAACAAACCGUUAUGAUCCAUUUCUGAUGAUGAGUAAGGGGCUACGGACUGGCUCUCUGUAACUAGGUCAGGCACCAAUUGGUAGUCAGCUCCACAGACCCAGGAAGAUUUAAUGAGGAGGAGACCAGACAAAGACAGAAGAUGGAAAUAGUGCCCCAAGCACGUGUCCCCAGACACCACAAUCUGGCGAUGGGAUCCAGUCCAUGCUAUUUCUCUCAAAGAUAGACCGGAACAAACUUUUGGAAACUCCUGACAUGCGGAUCACCAGUCCAGGCCAAGCCGUUGAGCCAUGGCUCUGGCAGCAGCAACCGGGCUGGAAUAAAAACAAACCCCGAAUCAAAGGAAGAUCGCGACCCGAGCCGAAAGUACAGAGAGAGCGAAGGCCGUACAGAGGCGGCCCCUGUUACAGCAGGGACAGGACAUAAAUAAAACGGCACUGCCAACCUCAAGCUUGUGUCCACAAAAGCCAAUCCCGUUUGCCGGGAUCUAUGCGCCACCGUUCCCGUCCCUCGUCCGUGCCGGGCAGUAGUAACUGGCACCUGCAUUCAGGCUGGCAGAUGGAGAGGCCAGGCGUAUUGAUUCCAGUGCCUACUCACUCCACCACCACGAAGGUCACGGCGCAGCAGCUGGCCACCGAGGGACUUCCUUGAGAGGCAGAUUCCAGCCUUGGCAAUGCCAUCGCCAGGAGGCACCUUCUCUCUUCAAUCUCGGGACACCUCAUGUGGGGAGACCAAGGGCCACAGGACCGUGAGAGGGCUCAGCCCAGCUUUGUUCUGGACAGACGGAGAGGCGGCUCCUGAUUCCUGGCACUGCCAGCAGCCCCGUGAAUGAGCCACUGUGCAGGUCUGGGAAAAGGGAUGAGGUCCAGGUCCUGCCUAACAAGUGCCCAGGUGAUGGCGGUGAGGACACCACUGGUCCACAGACAGCACUAGGAGAAGCAAAGCCUUGGAGAAAGGAGAUGCUUGGAGAAUGGGGAGCGGAAGUAAACACCUGAGUUUCAUUUGGUUGUUUUUUUGAUGUCAUGGUUGUUUUCAGACAACUUGGAAACUCUUUCAUUAUUCAUGGCUGUUGUUAAAGCUGUGGAUAAGUCCUUGGACCCAGAGGCGGGGAACAUUUGUUGUUUUGUUUUGUUCUAAAUCAAACAAAUAGAAUAAAGCAAAUACCUGUUGCCUCCUGGUGACUGC
Non-coding RNA from Macaca mulatta (Rhesus monkey), 2042 nucleotides. The record is from RefSeq and is a predicted model, not a curated record. Lineage: Eukaryota; Metazoa; Chordata; Mammalia; Primates; Cercopithecidae.